RNAcentral lists this ribosomal RNA (301 nucleotides) under uncultured bacterium. RNAcentral's name for it is "partial 16S ribosomal RNA". It matches the Rfam family "Bacterial small subunit ribosomal RNA", at positions 509 to 807 of the family's 1533-position model. The record is from RNAcentral.
CAGCCGCCACGGGAAUGCGUAGGGUGCGAGCGUUAAUCGGAAUUACUGGGCGUAAAGCGUGCGCAGGCGGUUAUAUAAGACAGAUGUGAAAUCCCCGGGCUCAACCUGGGACCUGCAUUUGUGACUGUAUAGCUAGAGUACGGUAGAGGGGGAUGGAAUUCCGCGUGUAGCAGUGAAAUGCGUAGAUAUGCGGAGGAACACCGAUGGCGAAGGCAAUCCCCUGGACCUGUACUGACGCUCAUGCACGAAAGCGUGGGGAGCAAACAGGAUUAGAUACCCCCGUAGUCCCUGUCUCUUAUAC